AUAUCUCAUAAUGCUACCCUGAACAAGCCCUAUCCCGUCUGAUCUUGGAAGCUAAGCAGGGUCGGGCCUGGUUAGUACUUGGAUGGGAGACCACCUAGAUAGAAAGACCAGGUGCUGUAGGUAUA
Molecule: ribosomal RNA, 125 nt
Filed under: Pteropus vampyrus (large flying fox)
Lineage: Eukaryota; Metazoa; Chordata; Mammalia; Chiroptera; Pteropodidae
Source: RNAcentral